Non-coding RNA from Vicia faba (fava bean), 264 nucleotides. The record is from the annotation of a GenBank genome assembly. Lineage: Eukaryota; Viridiplantae; Streptophyta; Magnoliopsida; Fabales; Fabaceae.
AUGAAGUUGAAGGUUCAAAAUAUGAUGGUAAAAAAGAUAAAAACACAAGAGAAUACCAUUAUUGUAAGUAGUGUUGAUGACAGUGGAAUUCUCAGUUAUGAUAAGAGUAAUAGACCUUCGGAUUAUAGCAUGGAAGCAACAUCUAUUGCAGACAUGUUUGGCAGGAUGAAAGGUAACAUGGACAUUAGAAGUGCAAAAGAAGAAGAAGAACUAAUUGUUCAAGAGAGAAAAAAUAUCAGUUAUGAGACUUCUGAGAUUCGAUAA